CUAUACUAUAGGUGGACCGCAAUGUCAAAAUUGCUGUUCGGCCAUUGCUCGUGAAAAAACAAAUUUGUUUACAAAACAUAUCAUAUCUUUUGGUGACAAAUGCAUUCGUCGGCAAAAUAGCUGCUCGCGCUUUACUGUAGAUAUCUACAAUCAGCGGUCGAAUUAAAAACAGUGCAGAAGGAUGUUUUGAGUAUGUUUUAGCUUCUAGCCGCGCAAUCAAUGCUUUUUUUCCAAGCAAGAUGUACUUCUGUUUGGAUCCUAUCGGCGGGGAAAAAAGUACUUACGGCGACGGUGACAAGAAAUAGCGCUGAUUGCGAGAUUACCAGAUCCAGAAGAUCCGGAAGGGCUGUUACAAGUAAUUGGUUUUGCUAGAGCAAAAGGAGGUUGACAAUGAUUGCAACAGAAGAUCCGGAAAGAGUUGUUGAAAGUAAUUGGCCACAGAAAAGUAUCCAUUUAUGAAGUCUAUCUCCAUCUCGGGGGAAAGUGUGGUAAACAAUGUCCGGGUUGUUUUUCGUUAUGCGGACCUUGUUUCCGCAUCCUUUUACUGCACAAUAAUACGGCAUCUGAAGAAAAUAAGAUAUUCACAAUAUAAUUUUGGCAUGAUAGAGAACCGCGAGAUGAACGAUUAUCUGUGGAGGAGUUGGACAACAGAUUUCUUAGACUUAUAGCACUUUAAUCACACUCACAAGCUCUUCAACUCCUCACUGUCCCCCAAAACUAUUGAAUAAUAUGUAAUAUAAAUACCUUAUUGCAGCUCUAGUACACUAUUUUUCACGAAUAUAUAUUUGCUUAUUUCUUUCUUCAGUUGUUUUCCUCAGCGAGUUGAUAUGAAACCAUAACGACACAACCAAACAAAAAGUAAACAAUGCAGAAAGCUACGUCUCGCAACUCGUCUCACGUAUUGUCAUGAAAGUGUCAAGAACGA
This is a long non-coding RNA of Toxorhynchites rutilus septentrionalis, 925 nucleotides long. RefSeq lists it as uncharacterized. The record is from RefSeq and is a predicted model, not a curated record. Lineage: Eukaryota; Metazoa; Arthropoda; Insecta; Diptera; Culicidae. The transcript is spliced from 3 exons.